AACGAACGCUGGCGGCAUGCCUAACACAUGCAAGUCGAACGAGAUCUUCGGGUCUAGUGGCGCACGGGUGCGUAACGCGUGGGAAUCUGCCCUUUGGUUCGGAAUGACAGUUGGAAACGACUGCUAAUACCGGAUGAUGACGAAAGUCCAAAGAUUUAUCGCCAGAGGAUGAGCCCGCGUAGGAUUAGCUAGUUGGUGUGGUAAAGGCGCACCAAGGCGACGAUCCCUAGCUGGUCUGAGAGGAUGAUCAGCCACACUGGGACUGAGACACGGCCCAGACUCCUACGGGAGGCAGCAGUGGGGAAUAUUGGACAAUGGGCGAAAGCCUGAUCCAGCAAUGCCGCGUGAGUGAUGAAGGCCUUAGGGUUGUAAAGCUCUUUUACCCGGGAUGAUAAUGACAGUACCGGGAGAAUAAGCUCCGGCUAACUCCGUGCCAGCCGCCGCAGUAA
RNAcentral lists this ribosomal RNA (449 nucleotides) under uncultured bacterium. Its description in RNAcentral is "partial 16S ribosomal RNA". It matches the Rfam family "Bacterial small subunit ribosomal RNA", at positions 29 to 523 of the family's 1533-position model. The record is from RNAcentral.